GCGUGUUAGAUAUUUUCGGGGGAAAGCGUUAUGCCGACGCACGUGAUCUAGAUACGGCUUGUUACUGGAUUAAGUCAGGAGAUGCCAAACCGACAAGGUCAAAAGAUGCAUAGACGACAAGGCAAGACAGUGCCUAGAAGAUGAGCCGAGACGAUGGCUAGGAAAUAAGGCAAGAGGAUGCCUAGGCGGCGAGGCAAGAUGACGCCUAGCCAACAAGCC
Molecule: long non-coding RNA, 219 nt
Filed under: Eutrema salsugineum
Lineage: Eukaryota; Viridiplantae; Streptophyta; Magnoliopsida; Brassicales; Brassicaceae
Description: long non-coding RNA (ESAL_LNC001812)
Source: RNAcentral